ACGGCUCACCAAGGCUGCGACGGGUAGCGGGCGUGAGAGCGUGACCCGCCUCAUCGGGACUGAGACACUGCCCGGACACCUACGGGUGGCUGCAGUAACGAAUAUUGGGCAAUGGGCGCAAGCCUGACCCAGCAAUGCCGCGUGCAGGAGGAAGCCUUUCGGGGUGUAAACUGCUGUUGGGGUUCAGCAAGCAACGGAGGUGAAUAGCCUCCCGCGUUGAGCAGACCCUGAGGAAGUCUCGGCUAACUCUGUGCCAGCAGCCGCGGUAAGACAGAGGAGGCAAGCGUUGUUCGGAAUUAUUGGGCUUAAAGCGGGCGUAGGCGGCCCGGCAAGUGUCCUGUGAAAUCCCACGGCUCAACCGUGGAACUGCAGGGCAAACUGCCGGGCUUGAUUCGGUAGAGGUGCCUGGAACUCUAGGUGGAGCGGUGAAAUGCGUAGAUAUCUAGAGGAACGCCAGAGGCGAAAGCGGGGCACUGGGCCGAUUCUGACGCUGAGGCCCGAAAGCGUGGGGAGCAAACAGGAUUAGAUACCCUGGUAGUCCACGCCGUAAACGAUGCACACUAGGUCCGGGUGUCUCUGACGGCUUCCGGGCCGAAGCAAAAGUGCUAAGUGUGCCGCCUGGGGAGUACGGCCGCAAGGCUAAAACUCAAAGGAAUUGACGGGGGCUCACACAAGCGGUGGAGCAUGUGGCUUAAUUCGAAUCAACGCGAAGAACCUUACCCGGGUUUGACAUGCUUGGAUGCCUCUUGGGGAUAACUCAGGUAGGCUGCCCUUCGGGGUGAAACUUGCACAGGUGUUGCACGGCUGUCGUCAGCUCGUGCUGUGAAGUGUCGGGUUAAGUCCCUUAACGAGCGAAACCCCUAUCGUCAGUUGCCAGCGGGUCAUGCCGGGGACUCUGGCGAGACUGCCGGCGUUAAGCCGGAGGAAGGUGGGGACGACGUCAAGUCAUCGUGGCCUUUAUGCCCGGGGAUGCACACGUGCUACAAUGGCGCGUACAAUGCGACGCGAGACCGCGAGGUGGAGCAAAUCGCAAAAAACGCGCCCCAGUUCGGAUUGGAGUCUGAAAUUCGACUCCAUGAAGUCGGAAUCGCUAGUAAUCGCGUAUCAGCUACGACGCGGUGAAUAAGUUCCUGAGCCUUGUACACACCGCCCGUCAAGUCAUGGAAGCUGGUAGUACCCGAAGUCCGUUUAGCUAACUUUCACGAGAGGCGGCGGCCGACGGUAAGACCGGUGACUGGGACUAAGUCGAAACAAGGUA
This 1258-nucleotide ribosomal RNA is filed under the name metagenome. Its description in RNAcentral is "bacterial SSU rRNA". It matches the Rfam family "Bacterial small subunit ribosomal RNA", at positions 260 to 1498 of the family's 1533-position model. The record is from RNAcentral.